This 2200-nucleotide long non-coding RNA is filed under the name Canis lupus familiaris (dog). RNAcentral's name for it is "lncRNA (ENSCAFG00000041118.2)". Lineage: Eukaryota; Metazoa; Chordata; Mammalia; Carnivora; Canidae. The record is from RNAcentral.
CCAAGCUGUGGUGUAGAAGCCCAGCUCCACAUGGACAAGCAGUCCAGAAAGGUUAAAAAGCAAGUUACUAAAGGAAGUGAAGACUCAAGGGUCCAAAGACACAUUCUCUCUUCCUCGUUUCCACGUGGCCCCCAAAAGUAGGCUGGACCAUCCUGCAGAACACACAUAUGCAAUAACGAAAAAACCUUUGUACAUAGCAGGUGCUCGGUAAAUACUUGUCAAAAUAAGGUCAGAGCACAACUAACCAGAACACAGGAAGCCCUCCAUUAAUACCUGCUAAGUUGGAAAGUCUGUAACACGUCUACCUUGUACCUAGUAGAUGCUCAAUAAGUACCGUUUAGAUUAAGAGGAUCCUGAUUUUUGCCGCGCACACAGUAGGUCCCCUGUAAGUGGCUCUUAAAUGGAACAGCAGGAACCGCUCGCUCGAGGAAGCGGGGCAGGGCUGACGUUAGUCAAAUCCCAGGCAGAGAUCCAUGAACCGAGAUGCGCGUCUCGAGGCAGCGCUUCCGAGGGUGCCCGGGAGGCGCGUGACAGCCGCGCACCGCGCGCUUCCCCGGGGGCCGCGGACUCCCCGUCCGCCCCGGGCGUGGGCGAGCGACCGCGACCCGCUGCCCCCCGGGCGCCGCCCCCCAUAUCACCUCGGGGCUGCACCUGGAGCUCCCGCGAUGCCCGCCCCCCGCCGGGGCGCCCGCCCACGCUGGCUCCUCCGGUUCUGGAGAGUUGUGGGCAGAACAAAAGCGAACCCGAUUGCUUCUCCGAAGGCGCGCGCCCCGGGAGGAGGCUGGGGGGGCCGGCCCGGGCCGGGGUGCGGGGUUAGACCCGAUCCGCGGCCCGCGGCCGCCCGCCCUCCCGGCAGAUGCAGGCUGCAGGUUGCAGCGCCGGGGACAGCGCCGGGGACAGCGGCGGGGCUCGCUCCUUCCCUCCCUCCCCGCCCUCUCGGGCGCCCCGAGCCCCCGCCCUGGGGUCGCAGGGGCGGAGAUGGGCACCUGGAUCGGUGGGGCGGGAGGGCGGGCGGGGGGGGCGACAUACUAACCCUCGAAGGCAGCGCGAAGGAGGCCGGAGGGGAAGAUGCUGCGGACUGGGGCGGACCCCACCGCCGAGCUCCGAAUUUGAACUCGCCUGCGAACCACCCCUGGGCGCCCCCAAACGCGCCACACCGCCCGCGGGGGUGGGGUCCCCUCAACGGCGCCCGGUCCCUAAAUCCUCCGCCCUCUGCACCCCUCGGGGAUGCCCAACCGCAACCUUCCCGUCGGGACCGCAGAUCCAGGGGCGGCCCGGGCGCGGGGGCGGGGGACCGGGUCCCGGAGGCGGCCACGCCGGCCCCGCGGGAGGCACCGGCGCGCAAACUCGCGGUUCGGAAUCCGCUUGCUUCCCGGGUCGGGGUUUUCCCCCAGGUGAGGCGGGGGCGCGGGGACAGCGGGGAAGGAGCGUUUCUGCUUUUCGCUCGGCUUCUCCGGGGCCCCCGAACUCCGAGAGGCGCAGGCACCGGGAGAAGAAAGGAAGCGGAGGGGGAGCCACUUACCCAGAGCGGAGCCCGAGAGCGCGGCGGCCCCGGCGCAGGCGGCGCCUUUGUCUGAGGUCGCGGCGCCGGCGCGCUCGGCCAGGCAGGUCCCGGCCCCGGCGCGCGGCGAGCUCCCGCGGGCGUCCGGACUGCGCGGCUCGCGGCUCCCGCCCCCCGCCCCGCGCCCCGGCUCCGGCUCCGGCUCCGGCUCCGCUCCCGCCCCCGCCCCCGCCCCGCGCUCGCCGCAGCCGCCGCCGCCGCCGCCGCCGCCGGCUCCGCCCCGCGCCGGCCCCGCCCCCGGGCCCCCACCUGCUGCGGCCGCCGGGGAGCCGAGCGUGGGGAGCCGCGCGUGGGGAGCCCAGCGUGGGGGGCCUGCCGCCUCCCCGCGCACCCCGCCCCCGCCUCCCCGCCGCCCGCGACCCCUACAGAGACGGCCUCACCCGAGGGCCCGGCGCCCGCAAGCAGGGGAGCCGCCGUGGGGGGCGGGGGGCGGGGGGCGGCCUCCCUGCCCGGGCCGGGCGCGCGUCGUCGGGGCCCCGUCACCUUGGAAGGCGGCCCCCACUUUGCCCGGGAGAGGGGAGCCGUCGGGCUCCGGCCAGGAGGGAGGGGGCUGCGGGAAGCAGGGUCUCCCUAACCCCGGCUGAAGCCCGGCCUCCCAGCGGGGUCAGCCCCUGGCCGGCUUCACAGAGUCCGCUGUAG